Molecule: long non-coding RNA, 187 nt
Filed under: Saimiri boliviensis boliviensis (Bolivian squirrel monkey)
Lineage: Eukaryota; Metazoa; Chordata; Mammalia; Primates; Cebidae
Description: lncRNA (ENSSBOG00000036641.1)
Source: RNAcentral
AGCCCCCCCUCCUCAGAUCCAAGCUCUCAGCAGUCCUGGCUGAAGUAGCCUGGGGACAAGACAGCAGCAGGAACAGAAAGACGGGCAUGAGGACAGAGUGCUGGAGAUUCUGAGCCUGAUCCAGCAGCGCGAGCUCGCGCGCGCCGACGAGCACAUCCUGGAGCUGGAGGCCGAAGAGCUGGCGUCG